RNAcentral lists this non-coding RNA (113 nucleotides) under Parageobacillus caldoxylosilyticus. Its description in RNAcentral is "Geobacillus caldoxylosilyticus TPP sequence". It matches the Rfam family "TPP riboswitch aptamer (THI element)". From Rfam's summary of the family: Vitamin B(1) in its active form thiamin pyrophosphate (TPP) is an essential coenzyme that is synthesised by coupling of pyrimidine and thiazole moieties in bacteria. The previously detected thiamin-regulatory element, thi box was extended, resulting in a new, highly conserved RNA secondary structure, the THI element, which is widely distributed in eubacteria and also occurs in some archaea. The record is from RNAcentral. RNAcentral also lists the same sequence under 1 other name. Lineage: Bacteria; Bacillati; Bacillota; Bacilli; Caryophanales; Anoxybacillaceae.
GAUAUAGCAUGCGGGAGCUUGCGGAAGCAGGCUGAGAGUACGGCUAUAUUCCGCCGUUGACCGUUUGAACCUGUUUGGGUAAUGCCAGCGCAGGGAAAGUGAGGAUGGGGCCG